UCUCUGUUAGUAUAUCGGUUAGUACACGCGCCUGUCAUGCAUAAGCAUUGGCCGCGCGAAAGCGGGGUUCGACUCCCCGACAGAGAG
Molecule: non-coding RNA, 87 nt
Organism: Epithele typhae
Lineage: Eukaryota; Fungi; Basidiomycota; Agaricomycetes; Polyporales; Epitheliaceae
Source: the annotation of a RefSeq genome assembly